CAGUCGCCACGGGAAUACAGAGGAUGCAAGCGUUAUCCGGAAUGAUUGGGCGUAAAGCGUGCGCAGGCGGUUUUGUAAGACAGGCGUGAAAUCCCCGGGCUCAAUCUGGGAAUGGCGCUUGUGACUGCAAAGCUAGUGUGCGGCAGAGGGGGAUGGAAUUCCGCGUGUAGCAGUGAAAUGCGUAGAUAUGCGGAGGAACACCGAUGGCGAAGGCAAUCCCCUGGGCCUGCACUGACGCUCAUGCACGAAAGCGUGGGGAGCAAACAGGAUUAGAUACCCCGGUAGUCCCUGUCUCUUAUAC
RNAcentral lists this ribosomal RNA (301 nucleotides) under uncultured bacterium. RNAcentral's name for it is "partial 16S ribosomal RNA". It matches the Rfam family "Bacterial small subunit ribosomal RNA", at positions 509 to 807 of the family's 1533-position model. The record is from RNAcentral.